Molecule: ribosomal RNA, 2898 nt
Filed under: Escherichia coli
Lineage: Bacteria; Pseudomonadati; Pseudomonadota; Gammaproteobacteria; Enterobacterales; Enterobacteriaceae
Description: bacterial LSU rRNA
Rfam family: Bacterial large subunit ribosomal RNA
Source: RNAcentral
UUAAGCGACUAAGCGUACACGGUGGAUGCCCUGGCAGUCAGAGGCGAUGAAGGACGUGCUAAUCUGCGAUAAGCGUCGGUAAGGUGAUAUGAACCGUUAUAACCGGCGAUUUCCGAAUGGGGAAACCCAGUGUGAUUCGUCACACUAUCAUUAACUGAAUCCAUAGGUUAAUGAGGCGAACCGGGGGAACUGAAACAUCUAAGUACCCCGAGGAAAAGAAAUCAACCGAGAUUCCCCAGUAGCGGCGAGCGAACGGGGAGCAGCCCAGAGCCUGAAUCAGUGUGUGUGUUAGUGGAAGCGUCUGGAAAGGCGCGCGAUACAGGGUGACAGCCCCGUACACAAAAAUGCACAUGCUGUGAGCUCGAUGAGUAGGGCGGGACACGUGGUAUCCUGUCUGAAUAUGGGGGGACCAUCCUCCAAGGCUAAAUACUCCUGACUGACCGAUAGUGAACCAGUACCGUGAGGGAAAGGCGAAAAGAACCCCGGCGAGGGGAGUGAAAAAGAACCUGAAACCGUGUACGUACAAGCAGUGGGAGCACGCUUAGGCGUGUGACUGCGUACCUUUUGUAUAAUGGGUCAGCGACUUAUAUUCUGUAGCAAGGUUAACCGAAUAGGGGAGCCGAAGGGAAACCGAGUCUUAACUGGGCGUUAAGUUGCAGGGUAUAGACCCGAAACCCGGUGAUCUAGCCAUGGGCAGGUUGAAGGUUGGGUAACACUAACUGGAGGACCGAACCGACUAAUGUUGAAAAAUUAGCGGAUGACUUGUGGCUGGGGGUGAAAGGCCAAUCAAACCGGGAGAUAGCUGGUUCUCCCCGAAAGCUAUUUAGGUAGCGCCUCGUGAAUUCAUCUCCGGGGUAGAGCACUGUUUCGGCAAGGGGGUCAUCCCGACUUACCAACCCGAUGCAAACUGCGAAUACCGGAGAAUGUUAUCACGGGAGACACACGGCGGGUGCUAACGUCCGUCGUGAAGAGGGAAACAACCCAGACCGCCAGCUAAGGUCCCAAAGUCAUGGUUAAGUGGGAAACGAUGUGGGAAGGCCCAGACAGCCAGGAUGUUGGCUUAGAAGCAGCCAUCAUUUAAAGAAAGCGUAAUAGCUCACUGGUCGAGUCGGCCUGCGCGGAAGAUGUAACGGGGCUAAACCAUGCACCGAAGCUGCGGCAGCGACACUGUGUGUUGUUGGGUAGGGGAGCGUUCUGUAAGCCUGCGAAGGUGUGCUGUGAGGCAUGCUGGAGGUAUCAGAAGUGCGAAUGCUGACAUAAGUAACGAUAAAGCGGGUGAAAAGCCCGCUCGCCGGAAGACCAAGGGUUCCUGUCCAACGUUAAUCGGGGCAGGGUGAGUCGACCCCUAAGGCGAGGCCGAAAGGCGUAGUCGAUGGGAAACAGGUUAAUAUUCCUGUACUUGGUGUUACUGCGAAGGGGGGACGGAGAAGGCUAUGUUGGCCGGGCGACGGUUGUCCCGGUUUAAGCGUGUAGGCUGGUUUUCCAGGCAAAUCCGGAAAAUCAAGGCUGAGGCGUGAUGACGAGGCACUACGGUGCUGAAGCAACAAAUGCCCUGCUUCCAGGAAAAGCCUCUAAGCAUCAGGUAACAUCAAAUCGUACCCCAAACCGACACAGGUGGUCAGGUAGAGAAUACCAAGGCGCUUGAGAGAACUCGGGUGAAGGAACUAGGCAAAAUGGUGCCGUAACUUCGGGAGAAGGCACGCUGAUACGUAGGUGAAGUCCCUCGCGGAUGGAGCUGAAAUCAGUCGAAGAUACCAGCUGGCUGCAACUGUUUAUUAAAAACACAGCACUGUGCAAACACGAAAGUGGACGUAUACGGUGUGACGCCUGCCCGGUGCCGGAAGGUUAAUUGAUGGGGUCAGCGCAAGCGAAGCUCUUGAUCGAAGCCCCGGUAAACGGCGGCCGUAACUAUAACGGUCCUAAGGUAGCGAAAUUCCUUGUCGGGUAAGUUCCGACCUGCACGAAUGGCGUAAUGAUGGCCAGGCUGUCUCCACCCGAGACUCAGUGAAAUUGAACUCGCUGUGAAGAUGCAGUGUACCCGCGGCAAGACGGAAAGACCCCGUGAACCUUUACUAUAGCUUGACACUGAACAUUGAGCCUUGAUGUGUAGGAUAGGUGGGAGGCUUUGAAGUGUGGACGCCAGUCUGCAUGGAGCCGACCUUGAAAUACCACCCUUUAAUGUUUGAUGUUCUAACGUUGACCCGUAAUCCGGGUUGCGGACAGUGUCUGGUGGGUAGUUUGACUGGGGCGGUCUCCUCCUAAAGAGUAACGGAGGAGCACGAAGGUUGGCUAAUCCUGGUCGGACAUCAGGAGGUUAGUGCAAUGGCAUAAGCCAGCUUGACUGCGAGCGUGACGGCGCGAGCAGGUGCGAAAGCAGGUCAUAGUGAUCCGGUGGUUCUGAAUGGAAGGGCCAUCGCUCAACGGAUAAAAGGUACUCCGGGGAUAACAGGCUGAUACCGCCCAAGAGUUCAUAUCGACGGCGGUGUUUGGCACCUCGAUGUCGGCUCAUCACAUCCUGGGGCUGAAGUAGGUCCCAAGGGUAUGGCUGUUCGCCAUUUAAAGUGGUACGCGAGCUGGGUUUAGAACGUCGUGAGACAGUUCGGUCCCUAUCUGCCGUGGGCGCUGGAGAAUUGAGGGGGCUGCUCCUAGUACGAGAGGACCGGAGUGGACGCAUCACUGGUGUUCGGGUUGUCAUGCCAAUGGCACUGCCCGGUAGCUAAAUGCGGAAGAGAUAAGUGCUGAAAGCAUCUAAGCACGAAACUUGCCCCGAGAUGAGUUCUCCCUGACUCCUUGAGAGUCCUGAAGGAACGUUGAAGACGACGACGUUGAUAGGCCGGGUGUGUAAGCGCAGCGAUGCGUUGAGCUAACCGGUACUAAUGAACCGUGAGGCUUAACCUU